ACUGCUACUGAAAUUACUGGGUUUGAGCUGUUCCGAAACGCCAGUGAAUACUGGCAAUACUGAAAAACGGAAUGCGUUUACAGUCAAACCAGCAACUGUUGAUGCCAUCAUAAAAACCUAACCUAUUAAUGUACGGCGGACGGCGGCCAUAUGCUUUACUGAAUUUGCACUACCUCCGGACAAUGUGUAAAAUUAGCCGGAAGUCAGUAAUUCCCUAGAGUCUAUUUUUGUAGAAUAGAUAGUAAUUUACAGUUGCUGACAGCACGCUGAAAACAAUUUCGGAACGAAAAAACAGUACUGUCAGUACUGGCAGUAGAUUUCGGAACGCACCCUGGAUAUGGCAUAGGACGAAAUAAGUGUGACCAAUUGAAGGUUGUAGUCUCUGUACACAAUAUGGCGGUGUAUACGAAUACGAACACAGUUUACUGUGACAAUGAUACGAAAUUCCACGUGUAAUUAAUUAUCUAUAGACGUAGAUGUGUAUCAGUUUUAUCCAAAAUAUUACUUUUUUUAUAAUAAAAAUAGUAAAAUAGUAAAAUAGUGAGAUUCCAAAAUUAAAAAAUGUGUUUAUUGUGGAAAAGGAAGUGAAAAUAAACAACAAACGUUUCAUAGCUGCAAGUAUGGAUUACUACAACACAAUUAAGGACACGAGGACAAAAUAAGCUAUAACAAUACCCUUUAAACUUAUUUAUAAGUUUAGUAGUAGUAGUAUUAUUUAUUAGUAAAAUUAUUUAACAAGAUGGUCAUAAAUAAAAAUUUACGAUUUUUAGAC
Molecule: long non-coding RNA, 772 nt
Organism: Monomorium pharaonis (pharaoh ant)
Lineage: Eukaryota; Metazoa; Arthropoda; Insecta; Hymenoptera; Formicidae
Exons: 2
Source: RefSeq, a predicted model, not a curated record